This 78-nucleotide transfer RNA is filed under the name Pseudomonadota bacterium. RNAcentral's name for it is "tRNA-Glu". It matches the Rfam family "tRNA". From Rfam's summary of the family: Transfer RNA (tRNA) molecules are approximately 80 nucleotides in length. Their secondary structure includes four short double-helical elements and three loops (D, anti-codon, and T loops). Lineage: Bacteria; Pseudomonadati; Pseudomonadota. The record is from RNAcentral.
GAUCCCAUCGUCUAGUCUGGCCCAGGACACCGGGUUUUCAUCUCGGCGACACGGGUUCAAAUCCCGUUGGGAUCACCA